This 253-nucleotide ribosomal RNA is filed under the name uncultured bacterium. Its description in RNAcentral is "partial 16S ribosomal RNA". It matches the Rfam family "Bacterial small subunit ribosomal RNA", at positions 524 to 776 of the family's 1533-position model. The record is from RNAcentral.
UACGAAGGGUGCUAGCGUUGUUCGGAAUUACUGGGCGUAAAGGGCGCGUAGGCGGCGUGUCAAGUCAGGCGUGAAAGCCCCGGGCUCAACCUGGGAACCGCGCUUGAGACUGGCAUGCUCGAGUUCGGGAGAGGAUGGUGGAAUUCCCAGUGUAGAGGUGAAAUUCGUAGAUAUUGGGAAGAACACCGAUGGCGAAGGCAGCCAGCUGGACCGACACUGACGCUGAGGCGCGAAAGCGUGGGGAGCAAACAGG